Molecule: ribosomal RNA, 382 nt
Filed under: uncultured bacterium
Lineage: Bacteria
Description: bacterial SSU rRNA
Rfam family: Bacterial small subunit ribosomal RNA
Source: RNAcentral
CCUAACACAUGCAAGUCGAACGGUAACAGGAAGAAGCUUGCUUCUUUGCUGACGAGUGGCGGACGGGUGAGUAAUGUCUGGGAAACUGCCUGAUGGAGGGGGAUAACUACUGGAAACGGUAGCUAAUACCGCAUAACGUCGCAAGACCAAAGAGGGGGACCUUCGGGCCUCUUGCCAUCGGAUGUGCCCAGAUGGGAUUAGCUUGUUGGUGGGGUAACGGCUCACCAAGGCGACGAUCCCUAGCUGGUCUGAGAGGAUGACCAGCCACACUGGAACUGAGACACGGUCCAGACUCCUACGGGAGGCAGCAGUGGGGAAUAUUGCACAAUGGGCGCAAGCCUGAUGCAGCCAUGCCGCGUGUAUGAAGGAGGCCUUCGGGUUG